AUGCCAACGACAAUUUCAGAGACCAUAAGAAGUUCAAAGGAGCCAACAGAAGAAACAGCAAGCGCAGCGGCAACGCCUCCUGCAAUGUUUGAUGACCGACGUGUUUCAGUAGCAGUGGAGAACUGGUCUGAAAGGUCUCAGAGCAGGAUCAGAAGCGGAAGGGAAGGGAUGCAAAGGAAUAGAAGUAUCGAGGUAAGUGAGUUCACUCAACACUCUUCAAAAUUCAGUAGAGCAGGUCGGGUGUUGGCAUUGUCAUAUCGGGACAGUGCAUAUAAAUCUGCUGCAAAAGCCUCCAAGCUAGAUUCAAGUAAUGGCGAUUACUUACUUCAAUUUGAUUUUAAAUAUUUAUAA
This is a non-coding RNA of Vicia faba (fava bean), 351 nucleotides long. The record is from the annotation of a GenBank genome assembly. Lineage: Eukaryota; Viridiplantae; Streptophyta; Magnoliopsida; Fabales; Fabaceae.